This 407-nucleotide ribosomal RNA is filed under the name uncultured bacterium. RNAcentral describes it as "partial 16S ribosomal RNA". It matches the Rfam family "Bacterial small subunit ribosomal RNA", at positions 30 to 526 of the family's 1533-position model. The record is from RNAcentral.
AUUGAACGCUGGCGGCAGGCCUAACACAUGCAAGUCGAGCGGAGCGGCGGACGGGUGGGUAAUGACUAGGUAUCUGCCUGGCCGUGGGGGAUGACGUCCGGAAACGGGCGCUAAUACAGCAUACUCUCUGAUGGGCGUAGGUCGGAUUAGCUAGGUGGUGGGGUAAAGGCUUACCAAGGCGACGAUCCGUAACUGGUCUGAGAGGAUGAACAGUCACACUGGAACUGAGACACGGUCCAGACUCCUACGGGAGGCAGCAGUGGGGAAUAUUGGACAAUGGGCGAAAGCCUGAUCCAGCCAUGCCGCGUGUGUGAAGAAGGUCUUCGGAUUGUAAAGCACUUUAAGUUGGGAGGCGUUACCAACAGAAUAAGCACCGGCUAACUUCGUGCCAGCAGCCGCGGUAAUAC